Molecule: long non-coding RNA, 1065 nt
Organism: Phyllopteryx taeniolatus (common seadragon)
Lineage: Eukaryota; Metazoa; Chordata; Actinopteri; Syngnathiformes; Syngnathidae
Exons: 3
Source: RefSeq, a predicted model, not a curated record
CGCAAACAGGUGAGUUCAACUCGCCUGGUUCCAAGUCUUCGAUCUUGGCUUCUCGGACCCGAACCCACUUAUGAAAACACGCCCGGUUGGCUGUAGUUCGGUUCGACGUGUCCGUCUGGGCGUGUUUGUUGCUCGGGUUUGUGUGUCUGUUCGGGACCACGUUGACCGGCCGCCGAGCCGCGAUGACCGACCACUCUCGCCGGGUGGUCCUGGCGGCGGCUCGCUUCGCCGUGGCCGAAUUCAACCGGGUUGACUCCGAGGAGCACUUUGUCUACAGCUUGGUUAAAAUAACGUCAGACAAACUUCAGUUCUCGGCGGGACAUGCCCCGCUGCAAGAUGAUUGGCUGCUGCAUCCGGGCAGGACUACAUGCAGCAUCCAGCCACGUUGCAGCUGGGUUUGUUCCACACGCAGAUAUGAAUAGGUGGCGUCGGGCUUGAAGUGUUUCCUGGUUAUGCAGUUGGGCCGUUAACUGGUCUGUGGGAACAAUGUCUCGGCACAACAAUGUGUGCGCACCUCACUCCAUAAAAGGCAAGUUUUCACCAUUUGCCUCGCCCGUGCACUCCCGUACAGUGCAGUGAGCCCUCACUCUUUGCAGGGGUGAGGGAGCAACACCUGCUGCCAAUUCCCCAAAUUUGCAAAUAAUGGUUAAAAACAAGUGUGCCCCUAUUAAUAGUUUCAACCAGGAGUGGGCGAACGUAUGUGCUCAAGGGCCACGUUUAAUAUUUCAAAUGGACAGAUGGGCCAGUUAAUUUCUUGUGUGUAUGUAAAUUGUGAUUAUUUUAUUGAAGUGAUAAUUUAGUCUUUUCAAUUGCAUUCUAGUUUAAUUAACCGGUUCUUAAAUAAAGUAAGAUUAAUUCUCAUUUAUAAUAUAUUUAUGAUUAUGAAAUAUGUAAUAAAAUGUUGAAUUUAUAUGCAAAAUUGUUUAUUUUUCUAGUGUAUUUGUAAUUAUGGUGUACCCCUGCAUAUUUACAUUUCAGCAUUUGCAAAUUCACCUAUUUGUUUUUUUUUGCAACCUAUCCCGUUUUUCCCCCCCAAAAAUAUUUAUUUGUGUUUUUAUAAAUCCG